UUAUAAAAUCUGAAAUGACUUGGAUGAAGACAUCGAAAGUUUCAUUGUUAAACUUGCUGACAACACAAGAAAUGUAGAAUGGAAAGUUUGAAGAGGACAAAGGGAUAUGGACAGUAAGUACAAGAAACACGACUGAAUCAAUGAAAGACUGCACCCAACAAGAUGGACAGCCACUGUACAAAAGAAAACAAACUGUGCAAAAACAACAAGAAUAAAUAAAUAUUCAGAACAUGAGAUGAACAUAGAUUGAAAGUGACUUGAUAGGUUGUGGGAACAGUUGAGUGAAGUUACUCCCUCUGGUUCAAGAGCCUGAUGGUUGAGGGGUAGGAACUGUUCCUGAACCUGGUGCUAUGGUUUCUGAGGCUCCUGUAUUUUCUUCCUGGUUGUAGUAGUGACAUGAGAGGAUGCCCUGGGUGGUGGGGUAACUGAUAAUGGACAUUGCUUUCCUGUGAUGUGCUCAGUAAGGUGGGGAAGAGGUUACCUGUGAUGGACUGGGCUAUGCACAUGACUUUUUAUAGGUUUCUCCAUUGAAGGGCAUUGGUAUUUCCAUAUCAAGCUGUGAUGCAACCAGUCAAUAUCCUCUCCCCCACACGCCUAUAGAAGUUUUGUCAAAUUUUUAAAUGUCAUGCCAUAUUUUCACAAACUUCUAAGGAAGUAGAAGCACUACUGUGCUUUCUUUGUAAUUGCACUUGCAUGCUGGGCUCAGGACAGAUCCUCCGAAAUGAUAACCCCAAGGAAUUACCUCUGCCUGAAGUCAGUAAUCAGCUCCAUUGUCUUGCUGACAUUGAACAAGAGGUUGUUAUUGUGGCCCUGCUUCUAUCUGAGGGGGCUGAAUGAACAGGGCAGAUUUUGAGAAGUUUGGAUUUCAGUUUGAGAGGUCAGUAACGUAGGAGUCAGAAACAGGAAGUUGCUGGAGGUGGGUCACAAGGAAGUCUGUAUUCCAGAGUUUUAAUUCUGAACUCUUAAGCAUUCAGUUAACAGGCCAAAUACAGUUCUCUUUAGCAGCUGGCUUACAGAGCUUGUUCGCAAUCAAUUAAGACUGUUUGCAAUUCCCUUAAAUGCUUUAGCUUAAAUACUUUUCUCUCUAAUGUUAGAUCAUUUUUGACCUGACUCAUCCUGAUUCCUCAGACUCUCAGGAGAUUCCAUUGUGCAGGGAUAGAGUCAUACAGCACAGAAGCAGGCUCUUCAGCCCAUCAUAUCAAUGCCAUCCAUCAAGUACCCAUUGACACCAAACUAUAGCCUUCUACACCUUGGUGAUUCAAGUGCUCAUCUAAAUAAUUAAAUACUAGGGGAGUUUCUGCCUCCACUACCCCCUCAGGUUGUAUGUUUCAGAUUUCAUCUACAUUCUAGAUGAAAAAAAAUCUUUUUUAUAUCCCUCCAAGUCUUACUCCUCACUUUAACCUGUUUAUAGAUAGCUCUGCUGUGGAAUAUCUAUCUAUCCUAUCUAUGCCCCACAAAAAAAAAAUUCCAAGAAGAUUUGCCUUGCAAAAACCUCAGAAAUAUUUGGGAUUGGUUUCUAGGUAUGGAGAGUUGUCCCAGAUUCUAUGUGCAACCACCCCACAUGUUUAUCAUCACAGAAGACUGAAGGGUUCACAAGAUGCUGGAGAAACUCAUCAGGUCAAGUGGUAUCUGUGGAGGGAAAUGGACAGUCAGUCCUUUGAGUAGAGACCCCUCAUCUAGUCUGCUCAAAGAAUCUCAACCUGAAAUGUCAGAUAUCCAUUUCCUUCCAUGGAUUCUGGCAUCCGUGUUCUCCUGUGCCUCCAUGCUCACAACUAUGUUCACCCAGAACUACUGAUGGGGUGAACUAUCUCAGCUCCCUCCAGAGAUCAUCAUCAUCAUGGAAACCAGCUUUCAGCCUAUUUGGUCCACUCCAUGUGAUGUCAAGAAACGUCUGAGAGCACGAGAUACAGGAAAGCCCAGAGGACCAACAUCCCAACUGUAGUACUGAAGACCUGCGCUCCAAAACUAGAUAUGCGACUAUCCAAAAUGUUUUUGUACAGUUACACCCCACAAUGUGGAAACUUGCGCAGGGACGACCUGCAUUCUGCUCCCUGCUCUCAGUCAUCAGCACAAUGAUUGUAGCUGCUACUGACAGUACUAGCAAAUGCUCACCAAACUUCAGAUCACUAGACGAACACCUUAAACACUUGGCCAUGCGCCAACACGAAGUACAUGACAGUACUAGCAAAUGCUCACCAAACUUCAGAUCACUCAGCUCCAGAUCUUGGUCCAAGCAUAUGACAAAUGACAAGUGGGAAUGUGUCAGCUUACCAGAGCGCCCGGUAGAGUGGUGCUGGCAGAAACAACCUCUUGUUCAAUGUCAGCGGAUCUAAAGAACUUAUUACAGACUUCAGGAAGGAGACUGAAAGUGAACAUGUGCUGGUCUCCUUUGGGAUAUUGGCGGUGGUGAGAGUGAGCAACUUCAAUAUCAGAUUACCUGUCCUGGGCCCAGUACAUAGGUACAAUCACCACCAUUUUUAUAUCCUAGGAAAGUUGAGAAAGUUUGGCAUGUCACUAAAUAUUCUUAGAAACUUCUGCAGAAACUUUUGAAUGUAUCCUGACUGGUUGCAUUAUGGUCUGGUAUACAAUUUGAGUGCACAGGAAUGAAAGAAACUGCCGAGUAGUGGGCUCGGCUCAAUAUAUCACAGUCACAUCUCUCCCCACCAUUGGUAGUAUGUAAAGAUGGCACUGCCUCAAAAAGGCAAUAUCCAUCAUCAAAGAUACCCACCACCAUCAGGCAGUCCCACACCACCAGGUUCAAACCCUGUUGUUCCCUUCAACUAUUCAGUUCUAAACCAACCAGCAAAACCCUAAUCACUCAAGUUUAGCAACACUGUUACCACUUUGAUCAUUUUGCACUAAAUGGACCUUUUUUUUGUUCUAAUUAUGUUUUCUUUUUAAAAAUUAUGUAUGCUUUAUGCUUAAUUUGUGUUUUACUUUGAAUGUCUUGUCUCUGAUUCUAUGUACCUGUG
Molecule: long non-coding RNA, 2972 nt
Organism: Hypanus sabinus (Atlantic stingray)
Lineage: Eukaryota; Metazoa; Chordata; Chondrichthyes; Myliobatiformes; Dasyatidae
Exons: 3
Source: RefSeq, a predicted model, not a curated record